RNAcentral lists this ribosomal RNA (424 nucleotides) under Verrucomicrobiota bacterium. RNAcentral describes it as "Verrucomicrobia bacterium partial 16S ribosomal RNA". It matches the Rfam family "Bacterial small subunit ribosomal RNA", at positions 355 to 776 of the family's 1533-position model. Lineage: Bacteria; Pseudomonadati; Verrucomicrobiota. The record is from RNAcentral.
UGAGGAAUAUUGGUCAAUGGGCGAGAGCCUGAACCAGCCAAGUAGCGUGCAGGAUGACGGCCCUAUGGGUUGUAAACUGCUUUUAUAUGGGAAUAAAGUGAGGGACGUGUCCCUUAUUGCAUGUACCAUACGAAUAAGGACCGGCUAAUUCCGUGCCAGCAGCCGCGGUAAUACGGAAGGUCCGGGCGUUAUCCGGAUUUAUUGGGUUUAAAGGGAGCGUAGGCUGUCUAUUAAGCGUGUUGUGAAAUAUACCGGCUCAACCGGUGGCUUGCAGCGCGAACUGGUCGACUUGAGUAUGCAGGAAGUAGGCGGAAUUCAUGGUGUAGCGGUGAAAUGCUUAGAUAUCAUGACGAACUCCGAUUGCGCAGGCAGCUUACUGUAGCAUAACUGACGCUGAUGCUCGAAAGUGCGGGUAUCAAACAGG